AUUGAACGCUGGCGGCAUGCCUUACACAUGCAAGUCGAACGGUAACGCGGGGCAACCUGGCGACGAGUGGCGAACGGGUGAGUAAUGCAUCGGAACGUGCCCAGUAGUGGGGGAUAGCCCGGCGAAAGCCGGAUUAAUACCGCAUACGACCUAAGGGUGAAAGGGGGGGAUCGCAAGACCUCUCGCUAUGGGAGCGGCCGAUGUCAGAUUAGGUAGUUGGUGGGGUAAAGGCCUACCAAGCCGACGAUCUGUAGCUGGUCGGAGAGGACGACCAGCCACACUGGGACUGAGACACGGCCCAGACUCCUACGGGAGGCAGCAGUGGGGAAUUUUGGACAAUGGACGCAAGUCUGAUCCAGCCAUGCCGCGUGCGGGAAAAAGGCCUUCGGGUUGUAAACCGCUUUUGUCAGGGAAGAAAUCUUCUGGGUUAAUACCUCGGGAGGAUGACGGUACCUGAAGAAUAAGCACCGGCUAACUACGUGCCAGCAGCCGCGGUAA
This 498-nucleotide ribosomal RNA is filed under the name uncultured bacterium. RNAcentral's name for it is "partial 16S ribosomal RNA". It matches the Rfam family "Bacterial small subunit ribosomal RNA", at positions 29 to 523 of the family's 1533-position model. The record is from RNAcentral.